Molecule: ribosomal RNA, 773 nt
Filed under: uncultured Neocallimastigales
Lineage: Eukaryota; Fungi; Neocallimastigomycota; Neocallimastigomycetes; Neocallimastigales
Description: partial large subunit ribosomal RNA
Rfam family: Eukaryotic large subunit ribosomal RNA
Source: RNAcentral
AGAGAUGUGUGAUGACGCAUAUCAAUAAGCGGAGGAAAAGAAACUAACAAGGAUUCCCUUAGUAACGGCGAGUGAAGCGGGAAGAGCUCAAAUUUGAAAUCUUCAAGGUUCUACCUUGACGAAUUGUAGUUUAUAGAAGUGUUUUCUGUUAGUAGAGGGGCAAAAGUUCUUUGGAAUAGGACAUCAUAGAGGGUGAGAAUCCCGUAUUUGUCAUUCUUUCUAGCUUUGUGAUACACUUUCAACGAGUCGGAUUGUUUGGGAAUGCAGUCCAAAAUGGGUGGUAAAUUUCAUCUAAAGCUAAAUAUUGGCGAGAGACCGAUAGCGAACAAGUACCGUGAGGGAAAGAUGAAAAGAACUUUGAAAAGAGAGUUAAACAGUACGUGAAAUUGUCAAAAGGGAAGCGUUUGACACCAGUGUUGUUUUUCCGAAAAUCAAUUACGAAUGUUUUAUUUUUGAGAAGUUAUGACUUCAUCGGCUUGCUUCUUUCUUUACUGAAACUUUCUUAAUGCACUUUUCGGUUAACAAGUCAACAUCAAUUUCUUUUGUUGUAAAAGGGUAUGAGGAAGGUGGCUUUCUUUUCGGAGAAAGUGUUUAUAGCCUUGUACCUCUGCAAUCGGAGAGAUUGAGGUCUGCAGCGUAGAUCCUUCGGGGUUAGAUACAUUUGUGCUAAGUUAUAGCUUUUCAUAGACAACUUGUUGACUAUGUUAGUCUUGUAGCUUACUCGCUUAUGCUAUUUUACCUACGCUUAGGAUGUUGAAGAUGUAGCACAUCAU